Molecule: ribosomal RNA, 833 nt
Filed under: Metarhizium cylindrosporum
Lineage: Eukaryota; Fungi; Ascomycota; Sordariomycetes; Hypocreales; Clavicipitaceae
Description: partial large subunit ribosomal RNA
Rfam family: Eukaryotic large subunit ribosomal RNA
Source: RNAcentral
ACAGGGAUUGCCCCAGUAACGGCGAGUGAAGCGGCAACAGCUCAAAUUUGAAAUCUGGCCCCUAGGGCCCGAGUUGUAAUUUGCAGAGGAUGCUUUUGGCGAGGUGCCUUCCGAGUUCCCUGGAACGGGACGCCAUAGAGGGUGAGAGCCCCGUCUGGUUGGAUGCCGAGCCUCUGUAAAGCUCCUUCGACGAGUCGAGUAGUUUGGGAAUGCUGCUCUAAAUGGGAGGUAUAUGUCUUCUAAAGCUAAAUACCGGCCAGAGACCGAUAGCGCACAAGUAGAGUGAUCGAAAGAUGAAAAGCACUUUGAAAAGAGGGUUAAAUAGUACGUGAAAUUGUUGAAAGGGAAGCGCUUAUGACCAGACUUGGACCCGGUGAAUCAUCCAGCGUUCUCGCUGGUGCACUUUGCCGGGCUCAGGCCAGCAUCAGUUUGCCUUGGGGGAUAAAGGCUUUGGGAAUGUGGCUCCCUCGGGAGUGUUAUAGCCCAUUGCACAAUACCCUGGGGCGGACUGAGGUUCGCGCAUCUGCAAGGAUGCUGGCGUAAUGGUCAUCAGCGACCCGUCUUGAAACACGGACCAAGGAGUCGUCUUCGUAUGCGAGUGUUCGGGUGUAAAACCCCUACGCGUAAUGAAAGUGAACGCAGGUGAGAGCUUCGGCGCAUCAUCGACCGAUCCUGAUGUUCUCGGAUGGAUUUGAGUAAGAGCAUACGGGGCCGGACCCGAAAGAAGGUGAACUAUGCCUGUAUAGGGUGAAGCCAGAGGAAACUCUGGUGGAGGCUCGCAGCGGUUCUGACGUGCAAAUCGAUCGUCAAAUAUGGGCAUGGGGGCGAAAGAC